This 255-nucleotide ribosomal RNA is filed under the name uncultured bacterium. RNAcentral's name for it is "partial 16S ribosomal RNA". It matches the Rfam family "Bacterial small subunit ribosomal RNA", at positions 526 to 779 of the family's 1533-position model. The record is from RNAcentral.
CGUAGGGGCUAGCGUUAUCCGGAAUUACUGGGGCGUAAAAGGGUGCGUAGGUGGUUUCUUAAGUCAGAGGUGAAAGGCUACGGCUCAACCGUAGUAAGCCUUUGAAACUGAGAAACUUGAGUGCAGGAGAGGAGAGUAGAAUUCCUAGUGUAGCGGUGAAAUGCGUAGAUAUUAGGAGGAAUACCAGUUGCGAAGGCGGCUCUCUGGACUGUAACUGACACUGAGGCACGAAAGCGUGGGGGAGCAAACAGGAUU